RNAcentral lists this long non-coding RNA (1434 nucleotides) under Cotesia glomerata. RNAcentral describes it as "uncharacterized LOC123263448, transcript variant X2". The record is from RNAcentral. Lineage: Eukaryota; Metazoa; Arthropoda; Insecta; Hymenoptera; Braconidae.
CGCCGACCUUCUUUCUCUACCUUGAAAGGAUUAGUAUUAAAGGAAUCUGAUCAAAUAAAAAGUUUCUUAGAGAAUUAUUACUCUGUACUAUUAUUAUCAUUAUUAUUAUUAUUAUUAUUAUCAGAGAACGCAUAUAUACAUAAAAAUUGAGAGUACAGACAAUGUAUAGGAAACAGACCCGAACGGUUAAACCAUCCAUGAGUUUCUUCAAUCUAAAAACCGUUUAAAGACUUUUAUAUUAGAAUUUAAAUGAUAAAAUACAGAAAGUAUAACUAAUUACAGCAUUUGAUAUCCGCUGAAAUGAUAAAGAUAUUCCUGGUUAGUGAGGAAGCUGUAAGGAUGAUGAAAAAUCCAAAUAGAUAAUAUUACAAAAUGGAUAGCAGGAGCACAUUGAUGAUGAAGAUGGAAAAAAUAAAAUUGGUGGUUAGCACCGUGACUUACGGUACAACGUCCGCGCUCUGACGAUGACUACAUCCCUAUAUAAUACUGGAGCAAUAAACUUGGAACUGGUCAGAAAAUAUCAUUACUCCAAUAAUCCCUUGGUGCACUUGUCUCGUCGGCUGUGUCAUGUUUAAAAAGCAUCAAUUGCUUACGACCAAUGGGAACAAAAAGAUGAAAGAGCAACAGGUGACCGUCCAAUAGCUGGUUGAAUCCAAAACCAACACCAGUGUUACUCACCAGUAUAUACAUCGGAUUUUCACCUUUAUAUGUGUAGUAUUAUAUACGUGGAUGGAUAAUACAUUACUACAUCGACGGAUUUUACCAUCAUGUAAACUGAAUUUCAUUACAGUAUACUAACAAACAUCUAGAUACUCCACACGCAACAAUUUUACCAGAUAUAUGUGUGUAUAUUGCGUUAUAUUGUGUAUAUAUAUUUAUAUAUAUAUUCGUUUAUUCAAGUUCAAGUUGAUUGUCUUACUCAUCUUUCACCGUCAUACAUGUAUAUAGAUAAAUAGUGGAAAUGAAAAAAUAAACAAGACGUAUAAAGUGAUCGUUCAAAGUCUAGACGUUCAGACGUAGUAUUGAGAAGGGAUGUAGAAAAGUGGAGGGAUGAUGAAGAACCAAAUAGUAGAAAGGGGAAGGGGAAAAGAGUGUCGACUUGUUGUACCUAUAGCAACCUAUAGAGUAGAGAGAACUGGACAACUAUACACGAUACACGAGUGGAGGGUCUGAACACCUGGCUUACCUGGAGUAUAGACACUAAUACACUCUAUAAAUACCUAUAGAUUAUUCACACAUAGACACAUAGACACGUAGACACGUAAAAACUCACCUUUCCCUUUGAUUCUCCUACCUGGGCCUGCAUUUUACAGUUGUAUUGCUCAUUGUCCACUAAAGAAACUACCAAACCCCUAAAAUUUUUAAACUCAAUAAUAUUUUUGUAUUUCAUUAUUUUAUUACGCUUGGAAAAAUCUAAAAAGUACAAGUGGAUUU